CAGUAGCCACGGUAAAACGUAGGGUGCGAGCGUUAAUCGGAAUUACUGGGCGUAAAGCGUGCGCAGGCGGUUCGUUAAGACAGAUGUGAAAUCCCCGGGCUUAACCUGGGAACUGCAUUUGUGACUGGCGAGCUAGAGUAUGGCAGAGGGGGGUAGAAUUCCACGUGUAGCAGUGAAAUGCGUAGAGAUGUGGAGGAAUACCGAUGGCGAAGGCAGCCCCCUGGGCCAAUACUGACGCUCAUGCACGAAAGCGCGGGGAGCAAACAGGAUUAGAUACCCGCGUAGUCCCUGUCUCUUAUAC
RNAcentral lists this ribosomal RNA (301 nucleotides) under uncultured bacterium. RNAcentral describes it as "partial 16S ribosomal RNA". It matches the Rfam family "Bacterial small subunit ribosomal RNA", at positions 509 to 807 of the family's 1533-position model. The record is from RNAcentral.